AUUUGGAUUGCACUUCCACAUAGAGGUUGUGCAUUUCUGAAAUGUAAGGGCACCUGCUGCAUUUCAGCUGUAGUCGAGUACCCAGGCCACGCCUCUCCUCAGAGUCCAUGUCCCAGGUCAGGUUGCCAUCACAUCCUGGAUUGGUCUUCCCAUGUUUUUUGAAGGCUGUAUUGAACAUCCCACUUGUCUUUUGAAGAUGGAGCAGUCUUUGGGAGUCUGUAUCACACCUGCCGAAACCAGUUUUAUAUCUGAUCACUUCCUAUCCAGAGGUCUUGGCUGCAGCAACCGGUGGCACCCAUGUCACAGCAUCAUUUCCUGUUCCUCACACACAGAGGGUGGAUGCCUCACCACUUCCAGGUUUCCCGGUCUACUCUUGUGAAUGGUGCAGGAAGAACACCAGAAUUGCCUAGGUAGAGGGGGCCGCCAUUUUGGACACCCAAAGUUGUGCGGAGAAGAAAAGCUGACAGGAGUCCUGAUUGGUCAUUAACAGAAAAUCUUUGUGGUGGAAUUCGACAGUGAAAUAUAAGUGAUAAAAAUUAUAUGUGACUUAACAGAAUGUGUAAAAAAGAUAUAGGACUUAUAAAGGAAGACUUGAGAUGAGGGGUGAUAUUUUGCUGGACAAUUUCAUUC
Molecule: long non-coding RNA, 630 nt
Organism: Saccostrea echinata
Lineage: Eukaryota; Metazoa; Mollusca; Bivalvia; Ostreida; Ostreidae
Exons: 3
Source: RefSeq, a predicted model, not a curated record